GGGGUGUGGAUUUCUACUAGGAGUAACCACUGGGAAGGAAGUAAUGUUCAUUAAGUGUGCAGGCAGUGCAGGACUAAGCAUGCUCAGUGAAAAAGCUUUUUCUCCUUUGCCUGUCAAGCCCCAGGUUUGAACUCAUUCCAGAAUGCCGGAUUUACUUUUCUUGGGGAAGAAACAGUACCUGCCUGGGCUGCAUUUUUUCCUUCCCUCCUCAGAAGACUGGAAACAAUAUUCUUUUGAUGCCAGUAACGUGCCUGCCUGCAAGUGGGAAUCUUGCCCUGGAGAAGGAGACAAACUUUGGUACCUGUGAAACGAAGACUCCUUAGGUAGCAGAGGAAAGGAAAGCAAUUCUAUUUACCAUAUUGCUCACAGACUCCACAAAUGAGUAACUUGAUGACUUCAGUGGGAAUUGCUCUUAAACAAGAGAGAGGAAGGGUCACCUGGAUUCUCCUGGAGAUGGGAGUCAGGGGCACAAGUCUCCAGGAAGGCACAAGAAGAGGAUCUCAAAUGCUGCCUCUUCUCCAUCCCACAUCGAGGUCCAGGCAAGUAUUGUUUCCCCUGGUUGGAGCUUCACUGGUGAGUCCUUUCUCACACAGGGAAAUGGUGUCACUGAAGAUUUGUUUCAUAAAAAUUUGAUGAGAAUUUGCUUCAUUAAGCAGAGGGUGGGUUAUUGUGCCCCACUGGCCAGUGUGGCAUUGCACUCUUAGGGAGAGUUUAUAUGGCCCUAGCCAGGAAAAGCUGAAUCAUUGGAUUAUUAAGCUUUUGGGAAUUCCAAAUCCAUGUCCUGUUACCACCUGAGACACACAGAGGUAGAGCAAUCUCACUUGAAGUCACUGGUUAGGUGACACUCUGCAUUUCCAGGCCUUUUGGGUUUUACAAAGCACCAGAACCAGGCCCUUGGAGUGAAUUUUGUGUCCAGGUGGGCUCUGCAUGCCAUGGGUGGCAUCUCCCCCAGGGAUUGUCACUGGUUUCCAUACCACUGUUUAUAGAAUUAGGUAUUAUUUGAGAGGAGCAAAGCAAUUCCAGCUUGACAGGUAGAAAAGAGGUUGGUUAGAGCCCUGUUCGAAGUGGAGGAGUCUGAAAUAAGCCAUGAAAGAACAUAUUAUCUUCCACUGGGAAAAGCCUGCAUGGAGAGACUCAUUUAGCCAUGGCAAGCUGGGGGAGAAGUGUGGAGUGAGAGACCAACCAGGCAAUUACUCUACUAAUGGGGGAGAUGAGGUUGGAUUUCAGCAAAUCAGUGCAAAUUUGUGGUUCACUAUGUCUGUUGAAAAGAUUCUGAAUGCAGAGAGUGUGAGGGGACGUUUUCCUUUUCUGAUGGAAAAUGCUCCAGUGUUUAACAUCAAUUGGAUGCUGAACUUUGUCAACAUCCUGGAUGCUCCAGGUGCAGGCUGGGAGAUGGAAGUUCUUGUCAGGGACUCUGUCCUGCUUGGGCUGGUCUUCCCUGAGCUUGAGACACUUUUGUGCUGGCAGUUUUCACUCCUCCUCAUUCAAAAUGAGCAAACCAGAACUCUGAAAGUCCUUGUGUGAGCACAGCAGAAAACUUUCAUGUGAGAAUGUUGGCAAGAAAGAGAAGGGGAUUUUUUAAUAAUUGUUGUUUCCUUUCUAACUUGGGGCAAUUGCUGUGUUUUGGUGCUGUGUGUCAGAAGUGCCUCAUAUGCUCAAAUGUGUCUUAAUUCAGAUUUCAGAGCAUCACUUCAGCUUUGCAGGAUAUCCCUUUCCCACGAGGUGAUUUGGGUAGGAAAGGUAUUUGUGGUAUAACUUCAGUUUUAUUCAGACACUUGAAAUCUUCUCAAUUGCCUUCUCCAGUCUGUGCAUGGAACUCCCACAUUUAUUUACAUGAAUGCACUUUUCUGAACCAGAGCAGUCGGUGUGGAAUUGUUGUGCAUGUUCUGAAAGUUGUGGACACUGUUUUAUUUCUUUACAUUGACUUUGACUGUGAUGAAAAACUCAACCUGAGUGUGAGUCCCAGGUGUAAAAAGGGCAAGUCUCACAGGCUGUGUUUUUAGCUGCCACUUGUUCCUUUGGUUUUGCAACAUUUUUUUGUCCAUGGUUUGAGAAGGGACUGAUGUCUAAUGUCAUUUAGAGAGUUUUGGAUUAGAUAUCAGGAAGAAGUUCUUGGCUGUGAGGGUGGGGAGGCCCUGGCACAGGUUGCCCCAUCCCUGGAAGUGUCCAAGGCCAGGUUGGAGCAAGCUGGGACAGUGGAAGGUGUCCCUGCCCAUGGCAGGGGGUGGCACUGGAUGAUCUUUUAGAUCCCUUCCAAGCAUUCUGGGAUUUCUGUAAGGUGCAGAGGCCUGUUCAGGGCUUUAUCAAAGGGAAAUGGAGCUCUGCACUGCCAGGAUUUCCCAUCCUUCACAGGUUCUUAUUAUCUUGUCCAGCCUCAUCCUGUUCUUACGUGGCAAAAGGGGGAAGGAAUGAGAUUAGAGGCUCCAUGGUUUGCUGGGUGAAGGGGGGGCAUCAGCAGCUGAUGCACAGGGGUGAUGAAGCCCCAAGCACCUGAGGAAUGUGCUGGGUUGGGUUUAGGUGCUGAGAGAGCAACAAACAGUUGCCAGUCAUGUUCUUCUUCCUGCAGAAUUCACCUCAGGCUUUGUUCCUGGUUAUAUCUCCCCCUGUUCUGCUGGUGGUAACUGCCUUGAUACCCAGCUCUGGUUCACAUUCCUGCCUGUGCACGGAAAAUCCUUCCCGUUUCUGCCAAGUCAUCACCUUCUCAACAUGCAAAUCCCUCCUAAAACCUCCCUUCUUUGGUAUUGACCACACGAGAUGAUUUAUUCUUCUAAUAUAUCUGCAUAUUUGUCAAGGCUGGAGAUAGAUGAGCUGGACAGUGGGCAGGGAUCUAAAUGAGCUGUGUGGUAUUUUCACUGCAAGCAGGGUUCUUUUUUCCUCAUUUAUUUGACUUUCUCGUUUUGUUGUGAAAUAAGCUGAUAAACUGCUUAAGACAUCAUGUCAAGUGAUUUCAGUUAUUCUUGUUCUGCGUGUUGAAUUCUGUAUAAAUAAUGGGUAAGUGAUAAAAAAAAAAAGGUAAAUUGAUUCAGGUACAAGCUGCAGCUCAGAAAAACACCCAGUUGGCAUUAAAAUUCAGCUACAGGCAGUGGGAAUCAAAUGGUGGUGGUGAUUACAACCUGGUCUAGGAGGGGAAGGUGUCCCUGCCCAGGGCAGGGGGGUGGGAUGAGAUGAGUUUUAAGGUCCCUUCCAGCCCAAACCAGUCUGGGAUUCUGUGUUGUGAGUGUUCAGCAAUUAAAUAUAAAUACAGCAAGGUAACACAUCAGGCAGCACAUCCCCUCUUCCCUGAGGGUUGGAUGGGUGUUCUUUCAUUUCAUGUUCCAUUCUUGGCCUGAUAGUUCAGUCAGUGGGACAAUGUUUUGUUCCUGAGCACUCUGGGCCCUAUUUGGAAGGCAGAAGGUGAUGGAGAAACCUGAGCCUCUGGAAAUGAUUUGGAAAUGAUCUUUUGGACCAUCUGCUCCUGGCUGGUUUAGGAAUAUUGAGAAGAGGAGCUCAGCCCGGGGACUGGGUGACAAACCUUCCUUGUUCUGAGGUCUGAACCAAACUUGUUGUGGCUGCAGAUGACAGGGGGAGUUUCCCAGAAUUCCUGUGGUCGUUUCAGUGCCGUGUCCUUCAUCCCCCAAGCUGGGAUUAAUUGCAGCAGGGCGGGUUUAAAUUUGAAACAGGCACCCCAGGCUGAGCUUUCCCUUCAAGUACAGAUCAGCUGGGGGCUGGCUCUGCAGGACUUGAA
Pseudopipra pipra is the source of this 3724-nucleotide long non-coding RNA. RefSeq lists it as uncharacterized. The record is from RefSeq and is a predicted model, not a curated record. Lineage: Eukaryota; Metazoa; Chordata; Aves; Passeriformes; Pipridae. The transcript has 3 exons.